This 461-nucleotide ribosomal RNA is filed under the name uncultured bacterium. Its description in RNAcentral is "partial 16S ribosomal RNA". It matches the Rfam family "Bacterial small subunit ribosomal RNA", at positions 29 to 507 of the family's 1533-position model. The record is from RNAcentral.
ACGAACGCUGGCGGCGUGCUUCACACAUGCAAGUCGAACGGAAAGGCCCUUCGGGGUACUCGAGUGGCGAACGGGUGAGUAACACGUGGGUGAUCUGCCCUGCACUUUGGGAUAAGCCUGGGAAACUGGGUCUAAUACCGAAUAGGACCACGCGCUUCAUGGUGUGUGGUGGAAAGCUUUUGCGGUGUGGGAUGGGCCCGCGGCCUAUCAGCUUGUUGGUGGGGUAAUGGCCUACCAAGGCGACGACGGGUAGCCGGCCUGAGAGGGUGACCGGCCACACUGGGACUGAGAUACGGCCCAGACUCCUACGGGAGGCAGCAGUGGGGAAUAUUGCACAAUGGGCGCAAGCCUGAUGCAGCGACGCCGCGUGAGGGAUGACGGCCUUCGGGUUGUAAACCUCUUUCAAUAGGGACGAAGCGCAAGUGACGGUACCUAUAGAAGAAGCACCGGCCAACUACGUG